GUGGUAGUAGCUCAGAGGUAGAGCUCCCGCUCCGUGUGCGGGGAGACUUGGGUUCGAUUCAUGGCUGCUUCC
RNAcentral lists this transfer RNA (72 nucleotides) under Toxocara canis (dog roundworm). It matches the Rfam family "tRNA". Rfam says of the family: Transfer RNA (tRNA) molecules are approximately 80 nucleotides in length. Their secondary structure includes four short double-helical elements and three loops (D, anti-codon, and T loops). The record is from Rfam by way of RNAcentral. Lineage: Eukaryota; Metazoa; Nematoda; Chromadorea; Rhabditida; Toxocaridae.